RNAcentral lists this ribosomal RNA (498 nucleotides) under uncultured bacterium. RNAcentral's name for it is "partial 16S ribosomal RNA". It matches the Rfam family "Bacterial small subunit ribosomal RNA", at positions 30 to 523 of the family's 1533-position model. The record is from RNAcentral.
AUUGAACGCUGGCGGCAUGCCUUACACAUGCAAGUCGAACGGUAACAGGUCUUCGGAUGCUGACGAGUGGCGAACGGGUGAGUAAUACAUCGGAACGUGCCUAGUAGUGGGGGAUAACUACUCGAAAGAGUGGCUAAUACCGCAUGAGAUCUACGGAUGAAAGCAGGGGAUCGCAAGACCUUGUGCUACUAGAGCGGCCGAUGGCAGAUUAGGUAGUUGGUGGGAUAAAAGCUUACCAAGCCGACUAUCUGUAGCUGGUCUGAGAGGACGAUCAGCCACACUGGGACUGAGACACGGCCCAGACUCCUACGGGAGGCAGCAGUGGGGAAUUUUGGACAAUGGGCGAAAGCCUGACCCAGCAAUGCCGCGUGCAGGAUGAAGGCCUUCGGGUUGUAAACUGCUUUUGUACGGAACGAAAAGCUCUGGGUUAAUACCCUGGGGUCAUGACGGUACCGUAAGAAUAAGCACCGGCUAACUACGUGCCAGCAGCCGCCGCCG